RNAcentral lists this unclassified non-coding RNA (184 nucleotides) under plant metagenome. Its description in RNAcentral is "partial contains small subunit ribosomal RNA and internal transcribed spacer 1". The stretch from base 1 to 46 matches the Rfam family "Eukaryotic small subunit ribosomal RNA", at positions 1786 to 1831 of the family's 1831-position model. The record is from RNAcentral.
AAGUCGUAACAAGGUUUCCGUAGGUGAACCUGCGGAAGGAUCAUUACCGUGGGGGAUUCGCCCCCAUUGUGAUAGCACCCUUUGUUUAUGAGUACCCCUUGUUUCCUCGGCGGGCUUGCCCGCCAGUAGGACAAUAAAAAACCCUUUGUAGUAGCAGUAACUUCGUUAAUAAUAGAUAUUAAAA